ACUGCUCAGUAACACGUGGACAACCUACCCUCAGCACGGGGAUAAACCCGGGAAACUGGGUAUAAUACCCGAUAGUUCUAGGCUGCUGGAAUGCAUCUAGGACGAAAGCUCCGGCGACUGAGGAUGGGUCUGCGGCCUAUCAGGUAGUAGUGGGUGUAAUGUACCUACUAGCCUACGACGGGUACGGGUCGUGAGAGCGAGAGCCCGGAGAUGGAUUCUGAGACACGAAUCCAGGCCCUACGGGGUGCAGCAGGCGCGAAAACUUUACAAUGCUGGCAACAGCGAUAAGGGGACCUCGAGUGCCAGGAUACAAUCUUGGCUGUCGUAAUGCCUAAAAAGCAUUGCAUAGCAAGGGCAGGGCAAGUCUGGUGUCAGCCGCCGCGGUAAUACCAGCUCUCCGAGUGGUGUGGAUGUUUAUUGGGCCUAAAGCAUCCGCAGCUGGCUAAGUUAGUCCCUUGUUAAAUCCACCGAAUUAAUCGUUGGAUUGCGGGGGAUACUGCUUGGCUAGGGGACGAGAGAGGCAGACGGUAUUUCCGGGGUGGGGGUGAAAUCCUAUAAUCCCGGGAAGACCACCAGUGGCGAAGGCUGUCUGCUAGAACGCGCCCGACGGUGAGGGAUGAAAGCUGGGGGAGCGAACCGGAUUAGAUACCCGGGUAGUCCCAGCUGUAAACGAUGCAGGCUAGGUGUUUGGACGGCCACGUGCCGUUCUAGUGCCGCAGGGAAGCUGUUAAGCCUGCCGCCAGGGGAGUACGAUCGCAAGAUUGAAACUUAAAGGAAUUGGCGGGGGAGCAC
This 792-nucleotide ribosomal RNA is filed under the name uncultured archaeon. RNAcentral's name for it is "bacterial SSU rRNA". It matches the Rfam family "Archaeal small subunit ribosomal RNA", at positions 85 to 879 of the family's 1478-position model. The record is from RNAcentral.